GAUGAACGCUGGCGGCGUGCCUAAUACAUGCAAGUCGAGCGAACGGACGAGGCGCUUGCUUCUCUGACGUUAGCCGCGGACGGGUGAGUAACACGUGGAUAACCUACCUAUAAGACUGGGAUAACUUCGGGACACCGGCUCUAACACCGUAUAAUAUUUUGAACCGCAUGGUUCAUAAGUGAAAUACGGCCUUUCUGUCACUUAUCGAUGGAUCCGCGCUUCAUUAGUUAGUUGGUACGGUAACGGCUUACCAAGGCUAGGAGGCCUAGCCGACCUGAGGGGGUGAUCGGCCACCCUGGAGCUGGGACACCGUCCAGAGUCCUACGGGAGGCAGCAGUAGGGAAUCUUCCGCAAUAGGCGAAAGCCUGACGGAGCGACGCCGCGUGAGUGAUGAAGGUCUUCGGAUCGUAAAGCUCUGUUAUUAGGGAAGAACAGAUGUGUAAGUAACUGUGCACAUCUUGACGGUACCUAAUCAGAAAGCCACGGCUAACUACGUG
RNAcentral lists this ribosomal RNA (497 nucleotides) under uncultured bacterium. Its description in RNAcentral is "partial 16S ribosomal RNA". It matches the Rfam family "Bacterial small subunit ribosomal RNA", at positions 28 to 507 of the family's 1533-position model. The record is from RNAcentral.